Molecule: ribosomal RNA, 450 nt
Filed under: uncultured Glomeromycotina
Lineage: Eukaryota; Fungi; Glomeromycota
Description: SSU rRNA
Rfam family: Eukaryotic small subunit ribosomal RNA
Source: RNAcentral
AGCAGCCGCGGUAAUUCCAGCUCCAAUAGCGUAUAUUAAAGUUGUUGCAGUUAAAAAGCUCGUAGUUGAAUUUCGGGGUCAGUAGGCUGGUCAUGCCACUGGUAUGUACUGGUCUUACUGAUUCCUCCUUCCUGACGAACCGUAAUGCCAUUAAUUUGGUGUUGCGGGGAAUUUGGACUGUUACUUUGAAAAAAUUAGAGUGUUUAAAGCAGGCUAACGCUUGAAUACAUUAGCAUGGAAUAAUGGAAUAGGACGUUCGAUCCUAUUUUGUUGGUUUCUAGGAUUGACGUAAUGAUUAAUAGGGAUAGUUGGGGGCAUUAGUAUUCAAUUGUCAGAGGUGAAAUUCUUGGAUUUAUUGAAGACUAACUACUGCGAAAGCAUUUGCCAAGGAUGUUUUCAUUAAUCAAGAACGAAAGUUAGGGGAUCGAAGACGAUCAGAUACCGUCGUAG